Molecule: non-coding RNA, 475 nt
Organism: Microcebus murinus (gray mouse lemur)
Lineage: Eukaryota; Metazoa; Chordata; Mammalia; Primates; Cheirogaleidae
Source: RefSeq, a predicted model, not a curated record
UGGAGAUCUUCAACCUGAAGGUUCACAUAGAAGGUUAUAAGAUCACUGAAGAAUCAAAGGAGAGGCUGGAGAUCGCACUCGGCUGGUAAAUGUGGUCGUGGAACACAGGAUAAUACAGAUGCUAUUGGGAAGAAGCUGAGUAAGGCCAUUAAGGAGAGAAGAAAGGCUGGUGGCCGUGACGGUGGAGAGCUGGGGCACAGGCGGCUGCAGGCCAAGGUGAAGAGGAAUGGAAUGGAGAUGGAAUAGAGCAAAGAGGUGAAUGGAGAAUGUCUGGAGCCCAGCAGAAUUUGAGGUCUGAUGGAGAGAAGCAGCUACAGAAGACCAGGCUGGCCACCAGCCCAACUUUCAUUCACUAUGUGAGGGGGUAGGAAAGCCACGUAACAUGCCUUCCGGCCGUGGGUGACUGCUGGAGCAGCAGACGGUGGCCCAGGCCCCUGCAGCGACAGCAGCAGCAUGCUCGGGGUGAUCUGUCAUG